UACGUAGGGUGCGAGCGUUGUCCGGAAUUACUGGGCGUAAAGAGCUCGUAGGUGGUUUGUCGCGUCGUCUGUGAAAUUCCGGGGCUUAACUUCGGGCGUGCAGGCGAUACGGGCAUAACUUGAGUGCUGUAGGGGAGACUGGAAUUCCUGGUGUAGCGGUGGAAUGCGCAGAUAUCAGGAGGAACACCGAUGGCGAAGGCAGGUCUCUGGGCAGUAACUGACGCUGAGGAGCGAAAGCAUGGGGAGCGAACAGG
RNAcentral lists this ribosomal RNA (254 nucleotides) under uncultured bacterium. Its description in RNAcentral is "partial 16S ribosomal RNA". It matches the Rfam family "Bacterial small subunit ribosomal RNA", at positions 524 to 776 of the family's 1533-position model. The record is from RNAcentral. RNAcentral also lists the same sequence under 1 other name.